UACGUAGGGGGCAAGCGUUGUCCGGAAUUAUUGGGCGUAAAGAGCUCGUAGGCGGUUUGUCGCGUCUGCUGUGAAAACCCGAGGCUCAACCUCGGGCCUGCAGUGGGUACGGGCAGACUAGAGUGCGGUAGGGGAGAUUGGAAUUCCUGGUGUAGCGGUGGAAUGCGCAGAUAUCAGGAGGAACACCAAUGGCGAAGGCAGAUCUCUGGGCCGUAACUGACGCUGAGGAGCGAAAGCAUGGGGAGCGAACAGG
RNAcentral lists this ribosomal RNA (253 nucleotides) under uncultured bacterium. RNAcentral's name for it is "partial 16S ribosomal RNA". It matches the Rfam family "Bacterial small subunit ribosomal RNA", at positions 524 to 776 of the family's 1533-position model. The record is from RNAcentral.